Molecule: long non-coding RNA, 41930 nt
Filed under: Triticum aestivum (bread wheat)
Lineage: Eukaryota; Viridiplantae; Streptophyta; Magnoliopsida; Poales; Poaceae
Description: long non-coding RNA (TAES_LNC015666)
Source: RNAcentral
UAAGAUAUGUCAGUUCCCUUGUAUGACCGAGGUUAACUUGCACUUGUUCUUGCACCAAUUCGUCGACGGGCCAAGCAACCCAAAUCGCAAUGAGGAAACCUUACUCCAAGCAAGUUUUCCUUUUGGGUUUGGGACGACGAUAGUCCAUGACUGGACUCUUACCGAGACAACAAAUUCCAGAGACACGGUUGUUGCACGUGUACAAGGUGUGCAUGUCCAGGCUGGUUUAACCAAGCCUAACAGAUGGUACACGACUCAUAACAUAGAGUUUCAGCAAGGAAGGUAAUAUGUUUCGCUACUUUUCAAUAUCUAAGUAUAUUUCAUGAGUUCUUUGCAUGCAACAUUAAAUUUAUGUCCUUACCUGUACUAUAUUUGUAGCCAAGGGUUUCACACACCUUACUAGUGUAUAGACACAUAUUAAUAAGUGUGCAUUUGUCAAACUCUACAUGCACUUCUGACCCUAUGACGGAACUUUCUAUUUUGAACAUGAAACAGGUUUGCGGGGUCCACCCUUCAAGUGAUGGGUAUAACCGCAGGUUUGGAAAGUGGGCAGUGGUCUAUUGUCGGUGGAACUGGUCAAUUCAUUAUGGCACAGGGUAUAAUAAGUUUCACAAAUCAUCCGGCCUCUACUUUUGAAGAUGGUAUUAAAGAACUCAAUAUUCGUGUACGCUUCACAAGGGAUAUUACACAAGCCGUAAGUAUAAUAUUAUGAGUUUAUAUUCAAAUUCUUGUGCUCUAUUUGUUGAAGAGAAAUGGAUUAUCAUACAUAUUAUCCUACUGAAACUGCAUUACAUUAAGACAUUUGUGGACAUUCAAGUGCAAAUGCAUUAAAGGAGGUUCUGUUUUAACAACAUUAGCCAUAUUUAACUAAAUCAAAUGCUUGUUGAAUGUUUUGUGCAUUUAGUAGGGUGUUGCAUAUCAAGUAAUGAAGCUUUAUGUACGAAUGCUUGACAUGACACUAGCCAUUGUUUCACUUUUCGCUGCAGGCUUGAGGUGCAUCUCGUCCCUUGAAAGACUAGCGCCAAUGUCAGUAAUUUGAUGGGGAAAUGUGUUUGCAUUUUGCUUGUAGUGUGAUGGGUCGUUGUUAUGGUCUGCAUGUGUCAUUAGAGUAUGCGUUAGCUAGCAUACCCUCUUUCUAUCUUUCAUUCAAAAUAUCAUGUGGGUUUCUCGCACGGUGGAUAUCCAGUCCAUAAUCUGUGUCAACCCAUCUGUUUGUUGGUGUCUAUGUAAUGUCUUGGAUAUGAUGUGGAAUAAUGGAGCUUGUUUGUUUGAGAAAGUGUUAUACCCACAUAAUUAUAUUAUUUGUGUUAAUCAUGAGACAAGCAUAUAUGAAAACUUAAAGCAAAACAAAUUAAUGAACACAAGAGCACCGUUAUUCAUACACUUAACAGUGUCUAUCCCGAAAGCAGUUUACCUCAAGGACCAUAAGAGCCCCAUUAUUUUCCACAACGUCUAGAAUAAUUGCAAACAAAGAUAUCACCCAGGCGGCCAUGACAUAAUGCAAUUAUAUAAAAAUGAUAGCCAUGUUAUUUGGUAGCAUCGAGAGAUGCAUAUACAUGUCUUGUACUCUUUUAAUAAAUACAUAAAAGAUUUGUGCAUUGAUGUAUUGCAAGGGAAAAAAUUGAUGCAUGGUAUAGAAUUGAGGCUCUUAACCACAAGGACCUAGGCUCGACCUUGACUCGAACAACGCAGGGCUACAACGGCUGUACUUCCUCCAUAAAAAAAUAUAAGAGUGUUUAGGGAGAGCGCCAUUACUAAGAUGGGCGGCAUCUGAACAUGUUAUAUUGGUCGUACGUCCAGCUCCAGGGAUUUGCGCUAGUGGGUCCAUGGCAGGAAAUACGGGUGGAAAAAAUUGACGUCGACUGGCGGUAUACGGGGAUGAACAGUGAUGUAUGCCAGCGCCCGUGCUCGUCUUUUUGAAAUGCACGUUACGCUGACGAGCCGAGCCGUCGAUCGGGUCAGUCACGAGAACCUGACCCAAGGAUUAGAAACGUAAUCGCACCGUCUGCUGCUUAGACACGCGCCGUCUACUGCAGGGCUAACCAGCGGCCCGACACGUGUCCUGACAGACCCCCACCACUCAAACAACCACAAUUCCUUUUUCCGAAUUUACAGAAUAUCUUUUUGCCUUGCCUUAUCCAGCGGACUGCUGCUGUUCCACACUCCAUAGCCUCUCCUUGUACAGCUUCGUGAAAGAUGAUUCCGAUGAGGUGAGGUCCGCCGCUCGGCGCUGUAGCUGGCGGCCAGACGGGAGCUAUUGCGGCUAGCGCUGCCCGCCUCCGGCCUGCUGCGCCGCGUGGGGCAGUGGCCUUGACUGAAGGCAAGAUGGGGUCCGUGCAAGCUAGCUCCGCUUGCUUCAGACGCGCUGCACCGCACGGGGCUGUAUCCUUGGCCGGUGUGAAGUCGGGGGGCGUCGCGGGUAGCACCGCCCACGUCCAGUGCGUCCAAGGCUGCGGUCGACCAGCUCCCUCGUAGAAGGUGGAACCACAGCACAUGCACCCAGUCGGCGGGCGCGGCCGUGGCCAGUGGCGAGAUGCCGCGGGAGGUCGUUCGGUUACACUUGAAGAAGCGUGAGCUCGAUGCAUCUCAACAGGCAAAGGUGAUUCUAGUUGCUUGCUUCUAUCCAACAUUUUGGCUACCAAAUCCCAAGAAAAUACCGAGGGUGGGCGAGAAACGUGAAUACUGCGGUUACCAUAAAAUUCCAAGCAAAAUCCGCUCGAAUUUUUCAAAAGUAAUUUGAAUUCAAAUUUUUCUGAGCUAGGAAUAUAUAAGUAUUGAGCUCAAGUGGUUCACAAACAAGGUGUUCGCGCAGUGGCAUGUUCUCGUCGUAUGUCCUCAGCGUAUGCAAGGUCGUGGGUUCGAUUCUCUAACCUUGAGUUUUAGAAUAUUUAUUUUAGAAUUGGUUAAACAAAAAAGAAAACAGUGUCUAUCCCUAAAGCAGUUUACCUCAAGGGCCAUGCCCUAUUAUUUUCCACAACGUCUAGAAUAAUUGCCAACAAAGAUAUCACCCAGGCGGCUAUGACAUAAUGCAAUCAUAUAAAAAUGAUAGCCAUGUUAUUUGGUAGCAUCGACAGAUGCAUAUACAUGUCUUGUAUUCUUUUUACAAAUACACAAAAGAUUUGUGCAUUGAUGUAUUGCAAGCGGAAAAACUGAUGCAUGUUAUAGAACUAGCGAAGUGUCCCGCGCAUUUGCGCGGCUAGAUUGUCAUUUUAUGUUAUUAUAUUUUUUGAUUUGUUAUCCUUCGUACAUUUAAGAUAUAUGGCCCUACAUGAUUUGACAUUAGUAAAAACAUUAAGCAUGUUAAUUAUUUUGAGGGUGACAACGAAUGAUAGAGAGGCACUUGUCCCACCACAUAAGGUUGUAGAGUUCUAGUAUGAAAAAUAAUAAUUAGCUUUCUAUAUUACAUUCUUAUCAUCCUCUAUGAUUUAUCUUUUUGUGAAUAUCUCUAACCUUGAGUUUUAGAAUAUUUAUUUUAGAAUUGGUUAAACAAAAAAGAAAACAGUGUCUAUCCCUAAAGCAGUUUACCUCAAGGGCCAUGCCCUAUUAUUUUCCACAACGUCUAGAAUAAUUGCCAACAAAGAUAUCACCCAGGCGGCUAUGACAUAAUGCAAUCAUAUAAAAAUGAUAGCCAUGUUAUUUGGUAGCAUCGACAGAUGCAUAUACAUGUCUUGUAUUCUUUUUACAAAUACACAAAAGAUUUGUGCAUUGAUGUAUUGCAAGCGGAAAAACUGAUGCAUGUUAUAGAACUAGCGAAGUGUCCCGCGCAUUUGCGCGGCUAGAUUGUCAUUUUAUGUUAUUAUAUUUUUUGAUUUGUUAUCCUUAGUACAUUUAAGAUAUAUGGCCCUACAUGAUUUGACAUUAGUAAAAACAUUAAGCAUGUUAAUUAUUUUGAGGGUGACAACGAAUGAUAGAGAGACACUUGUCCCACCACAUAAGGUUGUAGAGUCCUAGUAUGAAAAAUAAUAAUUAGCUUUCUAUAUUACAUUCUUAUCAUCCUCUAUGAUUUAUCUUUUUGUGAAUAACUCUUUUGGACAGUUUCACCUAAAAAUAAUAAAAUACUAAUGGCUUGUACUUAAUUCCUCUUUUAGCUUAGUCGUUGUAAAUUUGUUGUGUACAAUUUUCUCGUGUGCUUGGUGCAUUCGAGUUGUUUGUGGCAUUCUUCUUAACUGCUUGCAUACAUGGAUAAAAGAUAUGUAUGUUCUUCGGCAGUGAACUACUUGACUCACAGAGUCCAUGCCCGCUUCUCCUUCAAAUUAAAUCAUGACAAAUCUAUAAUGUUUCAUUAAGUGUAAAUUCUAAGGACUUUAUGCCACAUCGACUAAUAGUGUGGUCAGUCCAUAUUGAGAAUGGUUAUAUCCCAAUUAGUCUAAAUAUAUUUCUACCACAUGGAACCAAAUUGCCAAUUUAUUUUUUAUUCGUAUUGUCAUGUAUAAAAUAGCAUCAUAUUCAUUACUCACCUAAUCAGAUUGUUUCAUAUAAAAUACAUCACAAAUUUAGCGAUAUUUCAUUGUUACCAUGUGGAAAAUCAAGUUGUUGAUUUAUUUUCUUAUAGUGAAUUCCCUAUACAAAUAUCUCCAUUCGUGCUCAUUUUAUAGGGAAUGGUAUUACUAUGGUUUUUUUAAAUAGACAACGUCAUAAUCUGGAUACACGGUGAUCAACAAAUACGCGCAAUUUUGCUUAUAUAAAUGAAUACUCCUAAAAUAUAAAUGCAUAAUGGUUUUUGAUAGAUAUUUCAUGUUUAUAUUUUAUAUGAAUUAGAUACUAAUUCGUUCCGUUCCUAUCUUUUUCAUGGAAACUUUCCGGCCGAAUGUUGUAGAAAGGCGAUCGUAUACUUCUCAUCGUACAUGUAUGUGUGUCUUGAUGAAUUUUUUUUUGCGGUUAGUGUCUUGAUAAAUCCUUAUUGUGUACAGUAUGGUGAAUCUGAACAUGCACCUAUUUUUUUCUUUUUCCGUAGUCUUCUUAGAGCCUUUAUUUCAUUUUCUAUUUUUCUUGAAUGUUAGUCCGGACGUGAUUAGCUCUUUUUCCUCUACUAUUUUUGUUUUCACGGCCGUGUGCCUUGAUGAAUUAGUUUUUACCCAUAUGCAUGGAUUUCAUGAUAAAUCAUAAUUAUGUGAGUUGCGGUGGACAUGGACACGCCUCUAAUUUUCCUCUUUUUUUCCAACAGUAGUCCGGUCAUCUUAAUAGUAGUCCACAUUUUAUGUCCUUUGCUGAAAUUCACACAUGUAUCGGUUGGACACGUCUUCCUUUUUUGCAUCGAACUCUUCCUUAUAUAGUUCUUUGAGUUCCGUGGACUGCACGGAGACCAGGACCUGUAUGCUAAUAGGAAUCCUAAUCGCAUAUGGCCGGCCUUUUUCUUUUUUUAAUGCAAAUGCCUCGUAUAUACUACAUUACAAAGGCAUUACUAAGUCACGUGAUCUUUCUUUAUUUUUGUCUCACCUUUUUCACACAUGUUAUACGUGUCAGUUCAAUAAAUGUAAUCCAAUAACUUUUUUUCAUGUAACGUAAUAUCUUUAAAUCUCAACCGUAAGUAUUACUGACGGACGGUGUAUAUUGUGGAAGAACGUGGUGUCUUAUUUGACUUCUGUUUUAAGUAUAUAAUAGAUAGAUUGAGGCUCUUAACCACAAGGACCUAGCCUCGACCUUGACUCGAACAAGGAAGGGCUACAACGGUUGUACUUCCUCCAUAAAGAAAUAUAAGAGUGUUUAGGGAAAGCGGCGUUACUGAGAUGGGCGGCAUCUAUGGGCGGCAUCUGAACUUGUUAUCUUGGUCGUACGUCCAGCUCCAGGGAUUUGCGCUAGUGGGUCCAUGGCAGGAAAUACGGGUGGAAGAAAUUGACGUCGACUGGCGCCUGGGCUCGUCUUUUUGAAAUGCACGUUACGCUGACGAGCCGAGCCGUUGAUCGGGUCCGUCACCAGAACAUGACCCAAGGAUCAGAAACGUAAUCACGCUGUCUGCUGCUUAGACACGCGUCGUCUGUUGCAUGGCCAAUCAGCGGCGAACACGUGUCCUGACAGACCCCCACCACUCAAACAACCACAAUUUCUUUUUCCUAAUUUACAGAAUAUAUUUUUGCCUUGCCUUAUCCAGCGGACUGCUGCUGUUCCACACUCCAUAGCCUCUCCUUGUACAGCUCCGUGAAAGAUGAUUCCGACGAGGUGAGGUCCACCGCUCGACGCCGUAGCUGGCGGCCAGACGGGAGCUUUCGCGGCUAGCGCCGCCCGCCUCCGGCCUGCUGCGCCGCGUGGGGCAGUGGCCUUGACUGAAGGCAAGAUGGGGUCCGUGCAAGCUAGCUCCGCUCUCUUUAGCCGCGCUACGCCGCACGGGGCCCUAUCCUUCGCCGGUGGGAAGACGGGGGCCAUCGCGGCUAGCACCGUCCGCGUCCGGCGCAUCCAAGGCUAUGGCCAACCCGCUCCCUCGUAGAAGGUGGAACCACAACGCGUGGACCCAGUCGGCGGGCGCGGCCGUGGCCGGUGGCGAGAUGCCGCGGGAGGUCGUUGGGUCACACUUGAAGAAGCGUGAGCUCGAUGCAUCUCAGCAGGAAAAGGUGAUUCUAGUUGCUUGCUUCUAUCCAACGUUUUGGCUACCAAAUCCCAAGAAAAUACCGAGGGUGGGCGAGAAACGCGGAUACCAUAAAAUUCCGAGCAAAAACUGCUCGAAUUUUUCAAACGUAAUUUGAAUUCAAAUUUUUCUGAGCUAAGAAUAUAUAAGUAUUGAGCUCAAGUGGUUCACAACCAAGGUGUUUGCGCAGUGGCAUGUUCUCGUCGUCCGUCCUCAAACGUAUGCAAGGUCGUGGAUUCAAUUCUCUAACCUUGAGUUUUUAAAUUUUUAUUUAAGAAUUGGUUAAACAAAAAAGAAAACAGUGUCUUUUUGAAAUGCACGUUAUGUUGACGAGCCUAGUCGUCGAUCGGGUCCAUCAUGAGAACCUGACCCAAGGAUCAGACACGUAAUCGCGUCGUCUGCUUCUUAGACACGCGCCGUCAGCUGCAGGGCCAACCAGCGGCCUACACGUGUCCUGACAGACCCCCACCACUCAAACAACCACAAUUCCUUUUUUCUAAUUAACAGAAUAUCUUUUUGCCUUGCCUUAUCCAGCGGACUGCUGCUGUUCCACACUCCAUAGCCUCUACUUGUACAACUCCGUGAAAGAUGAUUCCGGCGAGGUGAGGUCCGCCGCUCAGCGCCGUAGCUGGCGGCCAGACGGGGGCUAUCGCGGCUAGCGCCGCCCGCGUCCGGCCUGCUGCGCCGCGUGGGGCAGUGGCCUUGACUGAAGGCAAGAUGGGGUCCGUGCAAGCUAGCUCCGCUCGCUUCAGCCGCGAUGCGCCGCACGGGGUUGUAUCCUUGGCCGGUGGGAAGACGGGGGCCGUUGCGGCUAGCACCGCCCGUGUCCGGCCCGUCCAAGGCUGUGGCCGACCCUCUCCCUCGUAAAAGGUGGAACCACAGCGAGAUGCCGCGGGAGGUCGUUGGGUCACACUUGAAGAAGCGUGAUCUCGAUGCAUCUCAACAGGCAAAGGUUAUUCUAGUUGCUUGCUUCUAUCCAACGUUUAGGCUACCGAAUCCCAAGAAAAUACCGAGGGUGAGCGAGAAACGCGGAUACCGCGGUUACCAUAAACUUCUGAUCAAAAACCGCUUGAUUUUUUCAGACGUAAUUUGAAUUCAAAUUUUUCUGUGCUAGGAAUAUAUAAGUAUUGAGCUCAAGUGUCCGGCCCGUCCAAGGCUAUGGCCGAGCCGCUCCUCGUAAAAGGUGGAACCAUAGCGAGAUGCCGCGGGAGGUCGUUGGGUCACACUUGAAGAAGCGUGAGCUUGAUGCAUCUCAACAGGCAAAGGUUAUUCUAGUUGCUUGCUUCUAUCCAACGUUUUGGCUACCGAAUCCCAAGAAAAUACCGAGGGGGGGGGGGCGAGAAACGCUGAUACCGCGGUUACCAUAAACUUCUGAGUAAAUACCGCUCGAUUUUUUCAAACGUAAUUUGAAUUCAAAUUUUUCUGUGCUAGGAAUAUAUAAGUAUUGAGCUCAAGUGGUUCACUAACAAGGUAUUGGCGAAGUGGCAUGUUCUGGUCGUCCGUCCUCUACGUAAUGGGUAACAAGUAAUGAAAGUAAAUAAGAUGCAGCAAUAUAGCCCAAUCCUUUUUAUAGCAAAGGACAAGUCUGGACAAACUCUUAUAUAAAGGAAAACACUCCCGAGGACACAUGGGAAUUAUCGUCAAGCUAGUUUUCAUCACGUUCAUAUGAUUUGCGUUCGUUACUUUGAUAAUUUAGUAUGUGGGUGGACCGGUGCUUGGGUACUGCCCUUUCUUGGACAAGCAUCCCACUUAUGAUUAACCCCUAUUGCAAGCAUCCGCGACUACAAAAGAAGUAUUAAUGUAAACCUAACCAUAGCAUGAAACACAUGGAUCCAAAUCAGCCCUUAUGAAGCAACUCAUAAACUAGGGUUUAAGCUUCUGUCACUCUAGCAACCCAUCAUCUACUUAUUAUUUCCCAAUGCCUUCCUCUAGGCCCAAACAAUGGUGAAGUGUCAUGUAGUCGAUGUUCACAUAACACCACUAGAGGAGAGACAACAUACAUCUCAUCAAAAUAUCGAACGAAUACCAAAUUCACAUGACUAAUUAUAGCAAGACUUCUCCCAUGUCCUCAGGAACAAACGUAACUACUCACAAAUCAUAUUCAUGUUCAUAAUCAGAGGAGUAUUAAUAUGCAUAAAGGAUCUGAACAUAUGAUCUUCCACCAAAUAAACCAACUAGCAUCAACUACAAGGAGUUAUCAACACUACUAGCAACCCACAGGUACCAAUCUAAGGUUUUGAGACAAAGAUUGGAUACAAGAGAUGAAGUAGGGUUUGAGAGGAGAUGGUGCUGGUGAAAAUGUUGAUGGAGAUUGACCCCCUCCCACUGUCCGUUCAUGCCUCCGGCGACGCCAACCGUCGCUAGAUCAAACCACUGCUGCCAUUGACAACACGCACGGGAUCGAGAUUUUGUUUUUGUUUUUGAAAGUAGCGCGUGGUAUAAGACACGCUACAGAUAAUUAGCAGUAGUGCUGUCUGCAACGCAUGCUACAUCUAACCAUGUAUAGCAGUAGCGUGUGUCAAAACGCGCUACUGCUACAAGUUAGCUGUGGCGUGCCCGCUCUACUGAUACACCCAAAACCCGCCCUGCUGCUAGGCUUUUCCCUAGUAGUGGGACUUACCCACUAACUAUUAGCAACGGGGUAGAUUAUACCUGCCUCCAGAAGCUUUAGUAUUUCUUUUCUUACCACUUCUUUCAUCUUAGGAUUUAACCUGCGUUGGUGAUCAACAACCGGUUUAGCGUCUUUCUCCAAUUUUAUUUUGUGUUGGCAUAAAGUGGGACUAAUGCCCUUAAGAUCAUCAAGAGUAUAUCCAAUAGCAGCACGGUGCUUCUUCAGAGUUUUCAUUAAUUUCUCUUCUUCUUGCUCUGAAAGAUUAGCACUAAUAAUAACAGGAUAUAUCUUCUUUUCAUCAAGAUAAGCAUAUUUAAGAGUAUCAGGUAAUGGUUUAAGCUCAAACACGGGAUCACCCUUGGGUGGAGGAGGAUCCCCUAGGAUUUCAAUAGGCAAGUUGUGUUUCAAAAUAGGUCCCUAUUUAAAGAAUACUUCAUCUAUUUUCCUUCUUUCAUUCAUAAACAUAUCAUUUUCAUGGUCUAGCAAAUAUUGUUCUAAAGGGUCAUUAGGAGGCACAACAAUAGAGGCAAGACCAAUAAUUUCAUCUUUACUAGGUAGUUCUUUAUCAUGGGGUUGUCUAUGGAAUUUAGCAAAAUUAAACUCAUGAGACAUAUCCCCCAAUCCAAUAGUAAAAAUAUCCUUUUUGCACUCUAUCCUAGCAUUAACAGUAUUCAAGAAGGGUCUACCAAAUAUAAUGGGACAAAAGUUAUCUUGUGGGGAACCAAGAACAAGAAAAUCAGCAGGAUAUUUGACUUUCCCACACAAGACUUCAACAUCCCUAACAAUCCCAACUGGUGAAAUAGUAUCUCUAUUGGCAAGCUUAAUUGUAACAUCAAUUUCUUCUAUCUCAGCAGGUGCAAUAUCAUGCAUAAUUUAUUUGUAUAAGGAAUGGGGUAUUGCACUUGAACUAGCACCCAUAUCACAUAAGCCAUGAUAGCAAUGAUCUCCUAUUUUAACAGAAAUAACAGGCAUGCUUACAACAGGUCUAUGUUUAUUUAGUAUUAGGUCUAGCAAUUCUAGCAGCUUCAUCACAGAAGUAAAUAACACGCCCAUCAAUAUUAUCGGCCAAGAGAUCUUUAACCACAACAAUACUAGAUUCAACUUUAAUUUGCUCAGGGGGUGUAGGUGUUCUAGUAUUACUCUUACGAACCAUAGUUGAAGCUUUAGCAUGAUCCUUUAUUCUAACAGGAAAGGUGGUUUCUCAAUAUAAGCAGUAGGAACAACAGGAUCAACAUUAUAAGUGAUAGUCUUUUCUUCAACUUUAAUAGGUGAAACUACUUUUACUUCAAUGGGAGGAUUAUAUUUAAACCACUUCUCCUUAGGGAGAUCAACAUGAGUAGCAAAGGAUUCACAGAAAGAAGCUACUAUCUCAGAGUCAAGUCCAUAUUUAGUGCUAAAUUCAUGGAAAACAUCGGUAUCCAUAAAAUAUUUAACACAAUCAAACUUAGGUGUUAUACCUGGCUCGUUACCUUCGUCGAGAUCCCAAUCUUCAAAGUUGUGUUUAGUUCUUUCUAAUAAAUCCCAUUUGAGUUCAAUAGUUUUCAUCAUAAAAGAGCCAGUACAAAAGUAUCGAGCAUGGAGCGAUUAUUGAGAGAAAGCCGAGCAUAAAUUUUUUGAAUAAUAAUUUCUCUUGAGGGGUCAUGAUUGGGGCAUGAAUAUAACAUUGACUUAAGCCUCCCCAAGCUUGAGCGAUGCUUUCUCCUUCGCGAGGCCAAAAAUUAUAUAUAUAUAUUUGCGAUCAUGAUGAACAAGAUGCAUAGGAUAAAACUUCUGAUGAAAUUCCAAUUUCAAUCGGUUGUAGUUCCAUGAUCCCAUAUCAUUACAUAGCCUAAACCAUGUCAAUUCCUUUCCCUUCAAAGAUAAAGGGAAGACCUUCUUCUUGAUAACAUCCCGGGGCAUACCUGCAAGCUUAAAUAACCCACAAACUCUAUCCACAUAGAUUAGGUGUAAAUCGGGAUGCAAUGUUCCAUCUCCUGUAAAAGGAUUAGCUAGCAGUUUCUCUAUCAUACCCAAAGGAAUUUCAGAGUAAACAUUUUUAGUAGGUUCAGUAGGUUGAGGAGAAACUCUUUGCUCUACUGGUCGGGGUGAAUAUACCCCGAACAAGCCCCUCAAAGGAUUACUUUCCAUAGCAACAAGUGACAGUAAAUUUUAGCACACUAUAUAAAUUUUUCCUUACCAAAUUCCACCUACCAAAGGCGCUUCACUCCCCGGCAACGGCGCCAGAAAAGAGUCUUGAUGACCCACAAGUGUAGCGGAUCUAUCGUAGUCCUUUCGAUAAGUAAGAGUGUCGAACCCAACGAGGAGCAGAAGGAAAUGACAAGCGGAUUUCAGUAAGGUAUUCUCUGCAAGCACUGAAAUUAUCGGUAACAGAUAGUUUUGUGAUAAGGCAAUUAGUAACAGGUAAAAAGCAAUUAAUGAAAGUAAAUAAGGUGCAGCAAGAUGGCCCAAUCCUUUUUAUAGCAAAGGACAAGCCUGGACAAACUCUUAUAUGAAGGAAAACGCUCCGGAGGACACAUGGGAUUUAUCGUCAAGCUAGUUUUCAUCACGUUCAUAUGAUUCGCGUUCGUUACUUUGAUAAUUUGGUAUGUGGGUGGACCGGUGCUUGGGUACUGCCCUUUCUUGGACAAGCAUCCCACUUAUGAUUAACACCUAUUGCAAGCAUCCGCGACUACAAAAUAAGUAUUAAGGUAAACCUAACCAUAGCAUGAAACAUAUGGAUCCAAAUCAGCCCCUUACGAAGCAACUCAUAAACUAGGGUUUAAGCUUCUAUCACUCUAGCAACCCAUCAUCUACUUAUUACUUCCCAAUGCCUUCCUCUAGGCCCAAACAAUGGUGAAGUGUCAUGUAGUCGAUGUUCACAUAACACCACUAGAGGAGAGACAACAUACAUCUCAUCAAAAUAUCAAACGAAUACCAAGUUCACAUGACUACUUAUAGCAAGACUUCUCCCAUGUCCUCAGGAACAAACGUAACUACUCACAAAUCAUAUUCAUGUUCAUAAUCAGAGGAGUAUUAAUAUGCAUAAAGGAUCUGAACAUAUGAUCUUCCACCAAAUAAACCAAUUACUAUCAACUACAAGGAGUAAUCAACACUACUAGCAACCUACAGGUACCAAUCUAAGGUUUUGAGACAAAGAUUGGAUACAAGAGAUGAACUAGGGUUUGAGAGGAGAUGGUGCUGGUGAAGAUGUUGAUGUGACCCCCUCCUGCUGAGAGGAUCGAUGGUGAUGACGAUGGUGAUGAUUUCCCCCUCCCAGAGGGUUGUUUCCCCGGCAGAACAGCUCCGCCGCAGCCCUAGAUUGGUUCCGCCAAGGUUCCGCCUCGUGGCGGCGGUGUUUCGUCCCGAAAGCUUUCUUCUGAUUUUUUCCAGGGUGAAAGACUGCAUAUAGCAGAAGAUGGGCACCGGAGGCCUGCCAGGGGGCCCACGAGGCAGGGGGCGCGCCCAUGGGGUAGGGCACGCCCCCACCCUCGUGGAUGGUGGGUGGCCCCCUCUGGUUGAUCCUUUCGCCAGUAUUUUUUAUUAAUUCCAAAAACUGCCUCCGUGAAGUUUCACGACUUUUGGAGCUGUGCAUAAUAGGUCUCUAAUAUUUGCUCCUUUUCCAGCCUAGAAUUCCAGUUGCCGGCAUUCUCCCUCUUCAUGUAAACCUUGUAAAAUCAGAGAGAAUAAGCAUAAGUAUUGUGACAUAAUGUGUAAUAACUGCCCAUAAUGCAAUAAAUAUCGAUAUAAAAGCAUGAUGUAAAAUGGACGUAUCAGUGCUCUGUCGCCACUCUGUCCACGUCUUCAAUGCGGCCCUUCUUGCUUCACCCUAGCGUUUCAUUAAUCUGGCGAGUGUUCCUCCUGCCAUUCGCUCUUUGUGAGGAUGCGUAUGUCACCUUUCUCUAUUGGUUGUUGUCAUGUCCCGCAAGUGUGUUUCUCUGCUUGCCAACUACAUGAGGCAAGCGAAGACACAACAGAGUUGCAGAUUAGGUACUUGGGUCACCGACCAACAAAAUCAACUCACCGGAGCUCCUGAUUCAUCUUUGCCACUUAUCAUUCAAUUUUUGAAUGCGGAUUCUGCUAUUCUAUUUCAUAUAGGCUACAUCUACAUGGAUGCAUCAACUCUGCUCCAUAAAUAUGGAUACAAAGUGUUUGGUGUAAUUUUCUUUGAUAAUUUUGUGUUGCCAUUUCUCCCAUUCAGCAUAUUUUAGAAUUUAUAAUGGCCAAUACCUAUCCAUCAAAGUACAAGUUCAUUCUCAAGUGUUGCAAUUUGUAUGCUCAAACAAAAUGACGUCUGCGUGGAUGUCCGGAUCAAGCACCACGCCUAAUCGUUCAUAAGUUCAGGUGAUAUGGCAACUAUCCCUUUGAAUUAUAUAAAGAUCAAUGUCGAUGCAAGUUUUGUGGAGAGCAUUAGUGCAGCGAGUGUGGGAGUGGCGGCAAGGGACUCUUCUAGGAGGGUCAUAGUCUCCUCCUAGGAUUUCAUUGGACUUUGUAAGAGCGUGGAGGAGGCAGAGCUCCGUGCUUGCAUUGCCGGUCUUUAUAUAGGUAUUACUCUACAAAAUCCUAUUAUCUUAGAGACUGACUAUGCGUUUGUGGUGGCGACCCUAGAAAAUGAAAAUUUUGACAGAUCAUCAUUGGUGGAUUUGAAGAAGGAAGCGAUGAGUACCUCCAAGCUUAAGAUUUCGGCCAGUCUUAAGAUCUCCAAGAUCAAUCGCUCGGACAAUGUGGUGGCCCAUAUGAUUGCUAAAUUUAGCUUUGAUAAUAGAUCAGAUGGUAUCUUAGUUAGUGGUGUUCCGUCCUGCGUGGUGAAUUUUGUAAUAAGUGAUUGUAAUAACUACGUUGGUUAAUUAAUAUAUGAGGUGGUUUUUUAAAAAAUGACGUCUGCAGGAAAUUUGGAUCUCGUAAUCUUAAAUGGUUUGGAUUCUAGUAGUAAGUUCUUUAUGUAGGACCCCCUACUGGAAUUAGCACUUUUUGUUGUAUAAAUUUAGCUCUAUAGGGGCACAUGAAUUGUACCAAUGAAGAACUUAGUACAGAGGAAAUUAGAAUUUACUAAAGUUUGAAGGAACUGCCUUGUUCUGAAAUUGUUGCUCUUGUUGGAUUGUUCUGUGUCAUACCUAAAUAAAAAUUCUAAUAUUAGCAUAUAAUUGGGUGGACCAUAUUCUUGAUUGGGGGUCGUAUCUAGAGGACGAGUAAUACUUCACUUAUACUUGUGGUCUGGUAUACUUGAGCCGGUGCAUCACAAGUGCUUCUUUGUUUUUAUCCUUUAUUAAUAUAUUUAUUGUUUGGAAGGAGGAGGUUGCAUAUUAUUCUACAUGACCCCUUUGUUGAAUACAAUCAACAUGCUACAUCGAUUGUUGUUUACUGCUAUACUUACACGCACUUUAUGCAUGCUUCUUAGAGCUACUAUGAUUUUCCGGUGCAAAUAUGCAUGCAUUCUGGUGUACUUAAUUAUGAUGUCUUAGAAUCCUCACUUUUAUAAUACUUAUUCUUGCUAAAGUUUACAGCCAUAGCUGGAUUAUCCUAAUCAUUUGUACUACACAAGUUACACCAAUAACCAUGUUUUUCUAUGCACAUAUCUCCUUAGGAUUACUAAUCUGAAUAAUGUAAGCUCAGUUAAGGUAGGCUAUAAAGUUGUUUUGUGUACUCAAAUAAAGAAUCAUUCGCAAAACAGUGGGUCAUUCACUUGUGAUGAUGAAUACUUUUUCCAUCAGAUUGUUGUCCAUAAAGAAUUAUGUAUUGGAACAUUAGCAACUCACUUUCUACACUUUCAGAAAGGAAGUUAAAUUUUGGUGUUCUUGUUUUGAAAAAUUUGGACCCCUCAUCAAAUACUAUUAAGCCAAAAGGGACAGCGAGGUUGGACAUUCGAACAUACAACUACAAUGGGAUGGAACAUGGCUAUGAAUAUAUCAAUUGCUUUUGGGAUAACAUAAUAAUCGAAGCACAACACAUUUAAAGUUACUUCCCAGCUUCCUUAAGCGUCAAACUGAUAUUUGCGCAACAAGUAGUAAGGCUAGGAUUGGGUAGUAGGAUUCGAACAACUGGAUAAGCUAGAUCUACCCUAUGCAAGGAUUUUAGCAAUCAUCACAUGCACAAUUUCAUCAGGGAGAGACCAUACAAACCUCUAUUUUGCAUGCAGUUUGUUGGUUGAGGUAAGCAUAACCCGAUGCAUACAUUUCAGAUUUAGGUCUAGGUUUAAUUAUUCUUCGGCCUACUUCAUGCUUUUCCUGUUUAGUAUUUGUAACAUGGUGCCAGAAGGGUGUGUGUACUCUGAAUUACUUGUUCUUUACGCAAAAGAAAAUGUAUUUAGAUUGUUUCUGGCCUUGAGAUUAUUUAUAUCUUCAACAUCCAAGUGACUGGCUUGCAGGCUGCUCUUUUUAGCAAUGAAGGAACCGUUUCUGUGGUGCAUGCUAAUAGUUAUUUAUUUCUGACAUAAGGAACGGAAAAUCAAUUCGGCUCCCGGGUGCAUUUGCACCCGGGGCCAUUUUUGAUUUUUUUCAAAUGUCGAAAAAAUUGAAACAAAUUUUUUUGUCAUCUUUGUCACAUAUAAAUGCGGCCCUCAAAACUUGAGACAAAAAUUCUAAUCAUUUUGGCUUGCGCAAAAAAAAUCAAAGACCAAAUGUCACCUCAAAAUGUCACCCAAAAUUUGUUUUUUUCACCGACGAAACACCGCUGCUCCGUUCCGCGUGAAUUUCGUCAAGCAUGUUUGCGACACCAACAUGAUCAUCUACAAUUUUUUCAGAUAUUUUUGAAAACAUUUAAUUUGUUUUUUCGGGGUACUGUUCAUCCGGGUGCAAAUGCACCCGGGAGCCAAAACGCCUCCCCCCAUAAGGAAUCCAUGUAAACUUUCUAACUCUUAUAUUGAAACUAAAGUUACCUUCUUCGCCUUAGUGUAGCACCAUGCAUAUGUCGCUGCUGGAAGAUAUGCUUCCGUGCUCAUCUUUUCUACAAUGUAGUGCAGACACACUACCUUCUCUAAAACUUUGAUAACUGUUCUUUGAAGAUUUAGCAUCAAUUGUUCUUUCACUGUCCCUGCAAUGCAAAAGAUGAUGUCAGGCAGAAAUGUUUUACCUACAAUCGAAGAUUUUUUUACCAUUAGUAGAUCUGUUUUGUACUCAUCUCUUCUACAAUGUGAAUUGAAUGUACAGGUUCUGGAAAAGUUAGCACUUUUUGUUUAACGAUUUACCAUAUGUUGUUCUUUCCAGGCUCCUAUAGUUUAAAUGGUGUUGCGAGGCGAUGAUGCAUGGCUGAAACUAAAGAUUUCCCCCAAAAUUGUUUGGGAUGACCUUUGCCAAUUCUUCUUUCAUAAUAGUUUAGUUCUUGCAUAUUGUUUUCUGUUAUACAUUAUCUAAUUUGAGAUGAUCACUAACUUCACUUAUUUGUGUUGCACCUACAAAAAUUUGCCCUAGAAAGAUUUGCAUGCUAUUUGAUUGCCUCUGAAAGUGCUUUGUCUCAAAGUUGUUUCUUAGCGACUCUGCUCUCUCGACUCGAGUCAUUCUACUUCAGUUUGAAAGUUGACUGGUAGAAUUGCAUUUUUAAUUUAAGUUUCCUGAAACGCAAAACUCCGAGGCUCGCCAAAAUGUAUUGUUUGGUCGAGAAAUAGGAACAUGAAGACUUUGUUGAUGAGUACUUUGUUUUUUAUCGGUUAUAAUGGAGCAAGUGCAGCAAAGCGCGCCUUUCCCUUCUAGUCGGUUACGAUUACUAUAUUUGCACGUAAAAUUGGAUCAGUGAUAGAACACCCAUGAUAUGACCAAGUAACAUGGAAGUAUAUUGUAUGUGCAAGUAGAUGGUUGUUCCCAUCACCAUCGCUAAUCGUUGAGGUGCAUCAUCCAUGUCAGAUGUUUCUAAUUGAAGAAAUCCCCUAUAUCACUAAGCUCCCUAAGGAAAAAUCGUCCAGGAGAGAUCCAAGCGAUUGAUUGCCUUGUGCGAUCAAUUUUGACCGGGUCGUCGUGUGUACAACCUGCAUCUGGUGAGGUGGCAGGUCUGUGGGCCUUUUUUGUUAGGGGCGGUUGGCAAGAGCAUGGGUUGUCGGUGGCUGGCAAAGGCGGUAUCUUCUGGUUAAAUGAGGUUUUCUAUGGUCAAAGCGUCAUGGCAGUUGCGAGGGGUUGCGAAGCACGUGGCAGUCAGAGGUAGUGUGGCCAUGCGGGCGUUGCAGUCAUCUAUAGGGGAUGGGAGGCUUUUGGGAGGCAUUUGGGUCACCCCCGUUGGGUGCGCCGCUGUUGGAUCUUGCUUGCGGGCAGCCGCCAGGGAGGUCGUCGCCGUGUUGACGCUCAAAAGUGGCAUGAUCAUAAAGAGUAGCUUGAAGGUAUGUAAAGAUUAAUUCAAACUUAUUAUUGAAAGUCAUCAUGGGAUGGCUCUCUUCGAGAAGAUCAAGAUUGAAAGUGCAACUAUCCCUAGGUGGUUUUGGUAAUUCAUAACAAUAUAUAGCUCACUGAGCUAAUGCUAUUCCAAGACUAUUAUUUCAGGAAAGCUCAAUGAAUGGCAUGGCAUGGAUGAUGAAAGUGGACCCCUCAAAAUAUCAAGGACAAAGGAUUGGCCCAAGCUCAAAAGCUCAAGACUCUUCCUUUUACAUUUUAGUGAUCCAAGAUCACAUUGAGUCUAUAGGAAAAGCCAAUACUAUCAAGGAGGAAUGAGGUGUUGCUUAAUGAGCCUCUUGCUUCAAGUGCUUAGUGAUAUGCUCCAAAUACCCUCAACUACUUUCUCACAUCCUCAUAUGACCUAAACCUAAAGCCAAAAUCGGUCACACCGAUUCUUUCUAUCCGGCGCCACCGAGUUCAGAUGUCAUAGCCACUGCCACAAACCCUAGGCAAAUCGGUGUCACCGAUAGGGAUCCCGGUCUCACCGAGAUGGGAUUGUAAUCUCUUUGUUUCCCUUCGUAACGUUUCGGUCUAACCGAAGUGAGCGAUUGGUCCCACCGAGAUUGCAAUGUAAACUCUCUGUUUCCCUUUUGUAACAUUUCGGUCUCACCGAAAAGAGCAAAUCGGUCUCACCGAGUUUACCUGACCAACUCUCUUGUUAGCUAAUUACCAAAAUCGGUCUCACCGAGUUUGUGUAAUCGGUCUCACCGAGAUUAUGUUAUGCCAUAACCCUAACCAUAUCGGUCCUACCAAGUUGCAUGUCGGUCCCACCGAAAAUCCUAACGGUCACUAGGUUUACUAAAUCGGUCUGACCGAGUUUGUUGAUUCGGUCCCACCGAGAUUGGUAAAUUGUGUGUAACGGUUAGAUUUUUUGUGGAGGCUAUAUAUACCCCUCCACCUCCUCUUCAUUCAUGGAGAGAGCCAUCAGAACAAACCUACACUUCCAACUUACCAGUUCUGAGUGAGAACUACCUACUCAUGUGUUGAGGCCAAGAUAUUCCAUUCCUACCAUAUGAAUCUUGAUCUCUAGCCUUCCCCAAGUUGCUUUCCACUCAAAUAUUAUUUCCACCAGAUCCAAAUCCUAUGUGAGAGAGUUGAGUGUUGGGGAGACUAUCAUUUGAAGCACAAGAGCAAGGAGUUCAUCAUCAAUGCACCAUUUGUUACUUCUUGGAGAGUGGUGUCUCCUAGAUUGGCUAGGUGUCACUUGGGAGCCUCCCACAAGAUUGUGGAGUUGAACCAAGGAGUUUGUAAGGGCAAGGAGAUUGCCUACUUCAUGAAGAUUUACCGCUAGUGAGGCAAGUCCUUCGUGGGCGACGGCCAUGGUGGGAUAGACAAGGUUGCUUCUUCGUGGACCCUUCUUGGGUGGAGCCCUCCGUGGACUCGCGCAGCCGUUACCCUUCGUGGGUUGAAGUCUCCAUCAACGUGGAUGUACGAUAGCACCACCUAUCGGAACGACGCCAAAAACAUCCGUGUCUCCAACUGCGUUUGAAUCCUCCAAACCCUUCCCUUUACUUUCUUGCAAGUUGCAUGCUUUAAUUUCCGCUGCCUAUAUACUCUUUGCAUGCUUGCUUGAUUUGAGUGAUGAUUGCUUGACUUGUCCAAAGGUUGCUAAAAUCUGCAAAACUCUAAAAUUGGGAAAAGGUUAAGUUUUUAAUUGGUCAAGUAGUCUAAUCACCCCCCCUCUAGACAUACUUCAAGGUCCUACAAGUGGUAUCAGAGCCUUGGUCUCCAUUUGCUUCGAUUACCAUAGCUUUUGGUGGUCAUAGCCUUGGUUUAACAACCUAGGAGAGUAUGGCACCUAGCGAGGGAAAUUAUCACCGUAGAGGUCCUUACUUUGAUGGCACUAAUUUUGCUAGUUGGAAACAUAAGAUGAAAAUGCAUAUUCUCGGACAUAACCCCGCCGUUUGGGCUAUUAUUUGUAUUGACUUGCUAGGUGAUGAUGAUUUACUUGUUGACAACUCUAGUGAUGAAUACUAUGAUGGAACAUCAAUUAAUCAUGGUAAACAAGAUAAAACGAAUGACAAUGAUAAGGAGAAGAUUGAGCUUCUAACUAAAGAACUAAACACUCUUAAGUUAGCUCAUGAAACUAUCUUCGAGAAUCAUCGAGAACUUUUAAGGGCUCAUGAGAAGUUAUGCUUUGAAAAGCUCAAUCUUGAGCAAGAGCAUGAGUUCUUAAAGGCAAUCAAUGAUGAUCUUCGCAAGAAAAGUUCUUAUAUUGCCAAGUGUUUACUCUUAUCCACUUACAUGCCUCAAGUCAAGUCUAGUAACAAGAACAAGAAAGAUUCUUCCUCUAGUAGUAACAAUGAUUAUGCUAAAUUAAAUAUUGUUGCUUCUAGUAGUUCACUUGAUUCCACUAAUGAUUCUCUUAGCCAAGUUACACUUGAGCAAGAAAAUAGCUUAUUGAAGGGAAUUAUAGAGAAAGGUGUAUACAAGAGUCUUGCCGCGAGUAAGCAAUUCGAGGAAAUUGUACGCAAGCAAGGAAGGCACCGGAAGAAUCAAGGUGUUGGUUUUGAACGAAAGUUCAAUGCCAAUGGAGUUGAGCGGGAAGAAGAUCAAUACCCCAAGACGAAGUUUGUUCCUCAACAAGAGAAGUAUGAUCCUACUUCCUUCAAGGGAACACAAACACAAGAUGAUCUUCCACCACAAGACCACAAGAACAAAGGCAAGGACAAGCUUCAAGAGGAGAUUGAUGCAUUUGAAGAAGCACCCAAGGCCUUGGUCAAGUGGGUUCCCAAGACUACGCCAAGUUCUACUUCAUCAAGUACAACUACAACUCCAAGGAUUCCCAUCAAGAUGAUGUGGAUCCCGAAGAAGAAGAACUAGAGAGUUCUUGAGGGUGACUCCGCCAACAUUCUUCACUCAUAUCAUUAUGGCAAGAACAAGUGCAAUCAACUUCCACAUCUUGCACUAGUUCAAGGAGUCACAAACCCUCAUGUUGGUAAGGCAAGGGACUAGGUAACCUAAUGAUUUCAUGGACACCAUCUUGUGUGUGCAUCACUCUAUGUCUAUGGAUAUUCUUGUUUGUUCCUUGUGGGACUAACCCAUGUAGGUAUGUUGAAAGUGCAACUCACUCCAAAGGAUUGCUCCAAAUGAUCUACACCAACAUUGAGCAUUCACAUCUUCAACACCUACAUGAAGUCAUCAUCGACAAAACCCGAGGUUAGUUCAUUCCUCUAAAAGGGGAUGUCACAUAUAGGGGGAGCUUAACUCUAAGAAUUGAGUCAAAGCAACUCUAAUGGUGUGAACACAUCAAUGCAUUAUGUAAAAGUGGUAACCCCACUUGAGCUUAAACGAUGAGUGUGACCUAUGAUCAAAUGUUCUCAUUUGACUCCUAAGUCAAUAUACUCAUAUAUAGAUGACCUAGUCAUCGCCAAUUGUUUGAUAGAUGCUAGAUUUGGUUGUGCAUGCUUUGCCACAUAUUUCAUUUGUCAUUUUAUUGUGUGAGCAUGUUGGUUUCAUAUUUUAAUCAUUCGAGGACAUCCACUUGUUGUUUUGAUUGAUUGGUUUCUAUUUCUUUGGCCAAGUGGAUGGACAAGAAUGCCUAAGAACCUUCUCUAGCUAUCUAUGCUUUUCUUGUCUCAAACUCUAUUCAUGCUACAUCACAAAAUUUGAUCAAGUCAGAUUCGAACCACUCUGUGUGAGGAGCACUCGGAGUCCCCGAUUCGUCAGAGACUUAAACUUCCAAAACUUCUUUGUGAUUCUCGGUCUGACCUAUUCCUCCAUUUCGGUCCCACCGAGAUCACUAAGUCGAUCUAGGUUUUCAAUCUCGGUGCAACCGAUUUGAACUUUUCGGCCCCACCAAGUUGCAGUAACUGUAUAUAGUUAUGCAUCUCGGUGUCACCGAGUUGUUCCACUCGGUCACACCGACAGGGUCGGGCUAUAUAUAGUCACGGGCAAAAAUUUGGAAAUUCCUCCAAUCCCCUUCGCCCGCGCAUUGCUCACUCUGCCUCCAGGGUCUCUGGAUCGUCUCCUUGUCGCCAGCCGCCUCCUAUCGCUGGUCUCCACCGCCGUCAACGGAUUUCACCCCCGCCGUUGCCACCGUAGCGAGUUCAUUGCCGAGCUAGGGUAUGGACUCAAUCACAGUGCUAUCUUCGUCUGAUUCCUAGCAUAUUGUAUUCAUCAUGUAUCUUGCCACGAUUGGAACACUCCUAUCCAGUCAAUAUGAUCCUUAGAAUAGAUGUGAUUUAAGAAUUUAGGGUUAGGUUUCCGCCGAAACCAUCUCGGACCCACCGAGUUGAAAAACUCGGUCCCACCGAUUUGGCUAACGCCAUUGCACUAGUAACUCUCGGUCUGACCGAGAAUUACAAAUCGGUGUGACCGAUUUUAGAACUUUGUGAAACCCUAGCAGUCUUGGUGCCACCAAACUAUGACUCGGUCUGACCGAGUUCACUAGUUUAGGUUCCAAAACUGCUUCGGUAUCACCGAGUUUGAAAGUCGGUAGAUCCGAAAUGCUUUCUGUGGAAACUAAAACUAAGUUUUUGAAUCAUUCUUUUGCAAAAAUCUCUGCAUUUUGUGAUGCUCAUCCAUUCUAUCUCAUCUAUAACUAUUCACAGGGUCAGCAGUCAGUGAUUUGCAGCAUGUCAGACCAAAGUGAUAGUCAGAACAAGUCAGCAAAGCAGAUUCACAUGAGUGAGGGCACUAGUCCCUCUAGCAGCUCAGAUGAAGGGAGCAGAAGCACUCCAAGCAACCUGCCCAAAGCAGCCACAAGAGCAAGAAGGAAGAGAACCUCAGACUCUAAGGAUGAGGAUUAUGUGGCUGUUGAAGAUGAGGCUACUUCCAAGAAGGUAGAGCUCAAAAAGGUGCACAGCUCAACUGCAGUAAAGCCAGGCAUGAAGAUCAAAAGGCCAGCAGGAAGACAGCCAAUGUCCAAAGCCAGGGCAUCAACUCAAGUACCUGAAAAGCCUGAUCCCAAAGAGCCAGCUGCAGAAGGAAAGAAAAGGAAGGAAAGGGUCAAGAAGACCAUGGCCAGAGUUGUUGGUUAACCUUCCAUGAUGGAAGAGGAAAAAGAGGUUGCUGCACCAGCACCCAAGACAUAGAAGCUUAUGGGUGAUGCUAUAAGAUCAGGGGCUGCAACAUCAAAGCCCAAAGAAGCACCCAAAGCUGCCCCAAGCCCAAGAAUGCACCAAAGAGGAAUAGCAGGAGUAUUCUAGCUGCUGAGAAGAACAAGGCCCCAGUGCCUGAAGUUGCUGAUGAUGAAGAGGAUGAAGGACAAGUCCUGAGGAAGCUAAAGCCCAACAUUCCAGACCACAAUGAUGCUCAUCCUGUAGCUGAGGACAUGAAAAUCAGGAGAGACUCAGGGUUGAGGCUAUGGAGGAUGACAGAUCCAUAUGCCACCAGGAGAAGGACUGUUGUUGAUUACAGGUUCCAUACAAAGGAACAGUAGGACUUCUAUGAGACAAUCUUGUUGGACAAGAAGCCCAUAGUGUGUGAUAUGAGGUGGGUCGACUGGACCUACAUGAAGGAGAAUGAGGAACACUAUCCUGGAGUGUAUGAUAGUUUUGAAGCUUGUGGAGUUGCAGAUUUUGUUGGGCAGAAUCUCACCAACUGGAAUGAUGAACUCAUUAUGCAAUUCUACUCCACAGCACACUUCUAUCCAGAUGGCAGGAUAGUGUGGAUGUCAGAAGGUACGAGGUACCAGUCAACCAUAGAAGAAUGGGCUAGCCUGAUCAAUGCCCCCAAGGAGAGUGAAGAUGACUUGGAUGUCUAUGCCAAGAAGAAAAUGGGACACAAUACUAUGGCACAUAUGUACAAGGAGAUCCCAGACAAAGCUCUUGAGACUUUCUCGUUUGGAUCAGUCCACUUUCUUCUUUCAAGGCUGCCUACGAUCAACUGGAUCCUAAGGCACACUCUUUUGCCCAAGUCAGGUGACCACAACAUGAUUAGAGGGCAUGCUAUCAACUUGCUGCAUAUAUUUGAUGUGCCACAGAAAUUCAAAGUCAUGAGCCUUAUGGUUGAGACCAUUAAGAGGACUGCAGCAGACCAGAAGAGAAGUUGUGGAUAUGCCCCACAGAUUCAGGAGUUGAUAAACUCAAAGAUGAGCACAAGCAAAUAUCUGUUGGAUAAGGAACAUUUUGCUCUUUAUCCAGACUUUGAGGACAAUCAAGUUGUCAUGACUGAGAAUGAACCAUCAUCAGUGCAAGCUCAAGAGAAGAAGGAGAAGGCAAGGAAAGAGAAGGCUGCCAAGAUGCCAACUCAAGAGGAGGCAUCUGAGUAUUUCUUGAAGAACAAACAUGAGCAGCUUGGUUACUUGAUAGCAUCAACACUGAGGAUUGAGAAGGGGUUGGCCACCCUAACUCAAAACCAGGAGAGCCUGGAAAGAAUCAUGGAACAAAAAUUCUAUGAUCUUGAUGUCAAAGUAACUGAGAUUCAGUCAGUUGUGGAGCAGCUUCAGGAAGACAUGCAUGAGAGGAAGGGCAAGACAACCACUGAUGCAUUUGCCAGAGUGCCUAGAGCUCAGAGGUCAGCUGUCGUGCCUGUGACAGACACUAGAGCCACAUCAUCUGCACCAGCAACAGCUUCUACAGCUCCAGGACAACUAGCUCCAGCACCAACUCCUCCAGCUCCCUCUACAUCAACUGAAGCCUUCAUCCAAGGAGUUAUCCGAACACCACCACCACCUGAAGACCAAGCCUGAGAGUCGAUCUAGCACUAUGCAUUUUUUAUGAACUUUUUGGUAACUUGUUGCCAAAUGGGGAGAAAAAUGUAUAGAUCAUAGGCUUCGAGAGAGAGAGUGUUGGUUCUUUUGUUCUCUCUUGUCUUCUUGGUUAAACUUUGUUUGCUUUUGAUUGUUUGAGAUACUAUGCAAUUACCUGUGAGACACUGAUGAUCAUGUGUGUGAUCAUAAGCUACACUUAUACCUGUUUGAUGAUAUUAUCUUACCUAUCCUUAUAUGAUCAUUCACUUUGCUUGGUGAUGAGUGCAUGUAUUCAAUCUUUAUUAUUUUGAGUGCUCCACCAAGAUGUAUGUGACAUGGAAGAGUAACCCAUGAGCCUAAUUCCUUGUGCAUUUGCAGUCCAAAGCAAAUCUUAAACUAUGCACAAAUUUAGGGGGAGCUCUUGCUUAUCACAUACUUCUCAAAGCGACGAUGUUUUACAAUCUUAUUAUCUUUUGUCGAAGCUUUGAUCUAUAUGUUGUCAUCAAUUACCAAAAAGAGGGAGAUUGAAAGUGCAACUAUCCCUAGGUGGUUUUGGUAAUUCAUAACAUCAUAUAGCUCAUUGAGCUAAUGCUAUUCAAAGACUAUUAUUUCAGGAAAGCUCAAUGAAUGGCAUGGCAUGGAUGAUGAAAGUGGACCCCUCAAAAUAUCAAGGACAAAUGAUUGGCUCAAGCUCAAAAGCUCAAGACUCUUCAUUUUACAUUUUAGUGAUCCAAGAUCACAUUGAGUCUAUAGGAAAAGCCAAUACUAUCAAGGAGGGAUGAGGUGUUGCUUAAUGAGCCUCUUACUUCAAGUGAUUAGUGAUAUGCUCCAAAUACCCUCAACUACUUUCUCACAUCCUCAUAUGACCUAAACCUAAAGCCAAAAUCGAUCACACCGAUUCUUUCUAUCCGGCGCCAAUGAGUUCAGAUGUCAUAGCCACUGCCACAAACCCUAGGCAAAUCGGUCUCACCGAUAGGGAUCUCGGUCUCACCGAGAUGGGAUUGUAAUCUCUCUGUUUCCCUUCGUAAUGUUUCGGUCUAACCGAAGUGAGCGAUCGGUCCCACCGAGAUUGCAAUGUAAACUCUCUAUUUCCCUUUUGUAACAUUUCGGUCUCACCGAAAAGAGCAAAUCGGUCCCACCGAGUUUACCUGACCAACUCUCUGGUUAGCUAAUUACCAAAAUCGGUCUCACCGAGUUUGUGUAAUCGGUCUCACCGAGAUUACGUUAUGCCCUAACCCUAACCAUAUCGGUCCUACCGAGUUGCAUGUCGGUCCCACCGAAAAUCCUAACGGUCACUAGGUUUACUAAAUCAGUCUGAACGAGUUUGUUGAUUCGGUCCCACCGAGAUUGGUAAAUUGUGCGUAACGGUUAGAUUUUGUGUGGAGGCUAUAUAUACCCCUCCACCUCCUCUUCAUUCGUGGAGAGAGCCAUCAGAACAAACCUACACUUACAACUUACCAGUUCCGAGAGAGAACUACCUACUCAUGUGUUGAGGCCAAGAUAUUCCAUUCCUACCAUAUGAAUCUUGAUCUCUAGCCUUCCCCAAGUUGCUUUCCACUCAAAUAUUCUUUCCACCAGAUCCAAAUCCUAUGAGAGAGAGUUGAGUGUUGGGGAGACUAUCAUUUGAAGCACAAGAGCAAGGAGUUCAUCAUCAAUGCACCAUUUGUUACUUCUUGGAGAGUGGUGUCUCCUAGAUUGGCUAGGUGUCACUUGGGAGCCUCUGACAAGAUUGUGGAGUUGAACCAAGGAGUUUGUAAGGGCAAGGAGAUCGCCUACUUCGUGAAGAUCUACCGCUAGUGAGGCAAGUCCUUCAUGGGCGACGACCAUGGUGGGAUAGACAAGGUUGCUUCUUCGUGGACCCUUCUUGGGUGGACCCCUCCGUGGACUCGCGCAGCCGUUACCCUUCGUGGGUUGAAGUCUCCAUCAACGUGGAUGUACGAUAGCACCACCUAUCGGAACGACGCCAAAAACAUCCGUGUCUCCAACUGCGUUUGAAUCCUCCAAACCCUUCCCUUUACUUUCUUGCAAGUUGCAUGCUUUAAUUUCCGCUGCCUAUAUACUCUUUGCAUGCUUGCUUGAUUUGAGUGAUGAUUGCUUGACUUGUCCAAAGGUUGCUAAAAUCUGCCAAACUCUAAAAUUGGGAAAAAGGGUAAUUUUUAAUUGGUCAAGUAGUCUAAUCACACUCCCUCUAGACAUACUUCAAGGUCCUACAAAGAUGGAUAUGAAGAUGGUCUAAAAUAGAGCUCAGAUGCAAAAGUUAUGACAAGAUCAGAGAUGCUCAUGUUGACACAAGAUUAAAGAAUGGCUGGAAACCCAAUUAAGAUGGCCUCGUAUGGAAAAAGUUUCAACACAAAGUUGUGCAUCUUGUCAAAACAAUUGAUUUUGAUAUAAAAACAUCUCAAUCAGAGUUCGUAUGCAAAAGUUAAAGCCAAAACAGUGUGUUGCAGAAGUCUACCCUGGAAGUUCCGGGCAACUUCUGGGCUAAACCGAAAGUUUGCACGAGGUGCGCCUUGUAAAUUGAAAUAUCAACAUUAUUUGCAGAUUUGCAGGCUCGAAUUCAACCUCAAGAUGACCUCAGAUGAAAAAGUGAUCAACUAAUGAGUUUUUCUCCAUUGGAAGAUCUACAACAUUGCUUUUGGGACCACUGCGAUGUGAAGCCAUAUGCGAGAUGCAGGAGUGGUGCAAGAGGGCUACUUGAUGUAAUGUUAGCCCGGAAGUUCCGGGACUACCAGAAGUUCCGCCCCCCUAGUCCGAGUUAGGUUAACUUUUGAUGUUUUGGAUGAGAUUUGAGUCCUUUUCUUGUACGGAAAGUCCAGCCACCUCAUAUAUAUGUAAGAGGUGACGGCCGAUUGAAUAACAACACACAAUCGAUCUAUCAAUAUAUCACUUUUUACCUUUACUUUAUCUUCUCCCUUGUUCUUCUCCUCCCCUGUUCUUCAUUCGUUCCUCGUGAAGGAGGGCAGUGAUCCAUGAGGCCCUAGGGGCGAUUAGGUCGACCUAGGGCAGCCCAUAGUUGCCGCGCGCCCUGACGGGGUCCCUCCCGGACGUGUGGGGUUUUGGGUCUACAAAAGCACCCGCCGGACUGCUUGCGUACCGCGCUUCCGGCCAGGUCUCCUUCAACAUGAGCUGCGGUGCAUCACCCUUGGCGUCGAAGGCACAAGGUGUCGUGUUCGUGUGCGAACAGACUUUUUGGCGACUCCGCUGGGGACAAAGCUUCGAACGGUCUCCAGCCCGUUCGUACUACGAAGAGAUCUCAUCUAGGGUUUGCAGUCUACAAAGGUAAUAUGAAUACCCAAUCCCCUUGUGUAGAUGCAAAUAUUUCAUAUAGUGUGUUACUAGAUUGUUCAAUAUGUAUACUCUAUCGGCCAACCCUAGUUUUUUCAAUCAUGCAUCUAACUACGUGCAAGGAUCGACUCAAAGUAAUUUACAAGCUUCAACUUCUUAUGAUACUAGUAUAUACUACCAUAUAUGGCACAUACAUGCAUGUGGGGACAUGUCAUGUUGGACUCUUAUCUUGGUCGCAUUAUCCAACUACCCACUACCAUGAUUCUUAUAAAUUACACCCUUGUACUGAACCGUCGAUCUUCAUCUCUAGUUUGUACCUUAAGGAUAAGGAUAAGAGCAUCUAUAGCCGGGUGCCUCAAACCCGCCUCAAAUGGCCGGACGGGCUGCUCGGUAACUAACGAUCAUGAAAAUUCGACCCAGACGGGCUCCUUAAACGAGCCUCAAAUGCCCGGGCUGACUGGCACCCCUCAUAUCCGGCCCAAACAUGGAGCGGAUUGGGGCCUCGGGCGAAUCCACCACGUCAGACCCGCCAACCCCAUCCACAUUAAAUUGCACCAAAUCCACCAAACGCUUCCUCCUCCUCCCGCCUCCCUCCUACCUUUCCCGCGCACGAGCCUUCACCGGCCGCCACCCUUGGUCCCCAUCCACACCACCGGUCUUGAUCCGCCACCCUAGAUGUCAUCCAGCCUGUUCCUGACCACCGCGACGGAGACUGCGUCCGCCUCAUCCGUCGGCAUCCCAUCCUCGUCUCCGUCGUGCAAGGCAGAGAACGUCGCCCGGAGGAUGCGAUAACGCCGCAGCGAGAGAGGGAAGCUGCAGCACAAGGACAUACCGACAUGGACGAGCAGCUACCCCCUCCCCCCCUCCAUGCCCCGAACCCCGCACCUCUUGGGGAACGUAGCAGAAAUUCAAAAUUUUCCUACGUGUCACCAAGAUCUGUCUAUGGAGAAACCAGCAACGAGGGGAAGGAGAGUGCAUCUACAUACCCUUGUAGAUUGCUAAGCGGAAGCGUUCAAGAGAACGGGGUUGAAGGAGUUGUACUCAUCGUGAUCCAAAUCACCGGAGAUCCUAGUGCCGAACGGACGGCACCUCCGCAUUCAACACACGUACAGCCCGGUGACGUCUCCCAUGCCUUGAUCCAGCAAGGAGAGAGGGAGAGGUUGAGGAAGACUCCGUCCAGCAGCAGCACAACGAUGUGGUGGUGAUGGAGGAGCAUGGCAAUCCUGCAGGGCUUCGCCAAGCACCGCGGGAGAGAAGAAGGGAGAGAGGUAGGGUUGCGCCAGGGAGAGGUCAAACUCAUGUGUUGGUAGCCCUCAAGACCUCAACUAUAUAUAAGGAUGAGGGAGGGGGGUGCGCCCCCUCUAGGGUUUCCACCCCAAGGGGUGCGGCAGCCCCAAUCCCAUCUAGGGUGGCGGCCAAGGGGGGGAGAGGGGAAACUUGCCCCCCAAGUUAGGUGGGUGCGCCCCCUCUCCCAACCCUAGGCGCCUCGGGCCCUUGUGGGGGGCGCACCAGCCCACCUGGGGCUGGUCCCCUCCCACAAUUGGCCCAUGCAGCCCUCCGGGGAUGGUGGCCCCACUUGGUGGACCCCCGGGACCCUCCCGGUGGUCCCGAUACGUUACCGAUAAAACCCGAAACUUUUCCGGUGACCAAAACAGGACUUCCCAUAUAUAAAUCUUCACCUCCGGACCAUUCCGGAACUCCUCAUGACGUCCGAGAUCUCAUCCGGGACUCCAAACAACAUUCGGUAACCACAUACAAACUUCCUUUAUAACCCUAGCGUCAUCGAACCUUAAGUGUGUAGACCCUACGGGUUCGGGAACCAUGCAGACAUGACCGAGACAUUCUCCGGUCAAUAACCAAGAGCGGGAUCUGGAUACCCAUGUUGGCUCCCACAUGUUCCACGAUGAUCUCAUCGGAUGAACCACGAUGUCAAGGACUCAAUCAAUCCCGUAUACAAUUCCCUUUGUCUAGCGGUAUUAUACUUGCCCGAGAUUCGAUCGUCGGUAUCCCGAUAUCUUUGUUCAGUCUCGUUACCGGCAAGUCUCUUUACUCGUUCCGUAACACAUCAUCCCGUGAUCAACCCCUUGGUCACAUGGUGCACAUUAUGAUGAUGUCCUACCGAGUGGGCCCAGAGAUACCUCUCCGUCAACCGGAGUGACAAAUCCCAGUCUCGAUUCAUGCCAACCCAACAGACACUUUCGGAGAUACCUGUAGUGCACCUUUAUAGCGACCCAGUUACGUUGUGACGUUUGGUACAACCAAAGCAUCCCUACGGUAUCCGGGAGUUGCACAAUCUCCACCAUCCUCCCACUCAAUUCUUUCGAGAGAAACUUUUCCUCGAGAAAGGACCCGUUUCUAGAAACAAUUACUCUUGCUUCCGGAUCUGAGAUAGGAGGUAUACCCAACCAUUUUGGGUAUCCUAUGAAGAUGUAUUUAUCCGUUUUGGGUUCGAGCUUAUCACGAUGAAACUUUUUCACAUAAGCGUCGCAGCCCCAAACUUUCAAGAAACGACAACUUAGGUUUCUCCAAACCAUAGUUCAAACGGUGUCGUCUCAACGGAAUUAUGUGGUGCCCUAUUAAAGUGAGUGCGGUUGUCUCUAAUGCCUAACCCAUGAACGAUAGUGUUAAUUCGAUAAGAGACAUCAUGGUACGCACCAUAUCCAAUAGGGUGCAACUAUGAUGUUCGGACACACCAUCACACUAUGGUGUUCCAGGCGGUAUUAAUUGUGAAACAAUUUCCACAAUGUCUUAAUUGCGUGCCAAAGCUCGUAACUCAGAUACUCAUCUCUAUGAUCAUAUCAUAGACAUUUUAUCCUCUUGUCACGAUGAUCUUCAACUUCACUCUGAAAUUACUUGAACCAUUCAAUAAUUCAGACUUGUGUUUCAUCAAGUAAAUAUACUUAACAUCUACUCGAAUCAUCUGUGAAGUAAGAACAUAACAAUAUUCACUGCAUGCCUCAGCACUCAUUGGACUGCACACAUCAAAUGUGUUACUUCCAACAAGUUGCUAUCUUGUUCCAUCUUACAGAAAACGAGGCUUUUUCAGUCAUCUUGCCCAUGUGGUUUGAUUUGCAUAUCUCAAGUGAUUCAAAAUCAAGUGAGUCCAAACGAUCCAUCUGCAUGGAGUUUCUUCAUGCGUAUACACCAAUAGACAUGGUUCGCAUGUCUCAAACCUUUUUAAAACGAGUGAGUCCAAAGAUCCAUCAACAUGGAGCUUCUUCAUGCAUUUUACACCAAUAUGACUUACAUGGCAGUGCCACAAGUAAGUAGUACUAUCAUUACUAUCUUAUAUCUUUUGGCAUGAAAAUGAGUAUCACUACGAUCGAGAUUCAACAAACCAUUCCUUUUAGGUGCAAGAUCAUUGAAGGUAUUAUUCAAAUAAACAGAGUAAUCAUUAUUCUCCUUAAAUGAAUAACCGUAUUGUGAUAGACAUAAUCCAAUCAUGUCUAUGCUCAACGCAAACACCAAGUAACAAUUAUUUAGGUUUAAUACCAAUCUCGAUGGCAGAGGGAGCGUGCGAUGCUUGAUCACAUCAACCUUGGAAACACUUCCAACACAUAUCGUCAGCUCACCUUUAGCUAGUCUCCGUUUAUUCCAUAGCUUUUAUUUCGAGUUACUAACACUUAGCAACCGAACCGGUAUCUAAUACCCUGGUGCUACUAGGAGAACUAGUAAAGUACACAUUAACAUAAUGUAUAUCAAAUAUACUUCUAUCGACCUUUGCCAGCCUUCUUAUCUACCAAGUAUCUAGGGUGGCUCUGCUCCAGUGUCUGUUCCCUCAUUACAGAAGCACUUAGUCUCGGGUUUGGGUUCAACCUUGGGUUUUCACUAGAGCAGCAACUGUUUUGCCGUUUCAUGAAGUAUCCCUUCUUGCCCUUGCCCUUCUUGAAACUAGUGGUUUCACCAACCAUCAACAAUUCAUGCUCCUUCUUGAUUUCUACUUUCGUGGUGUUAAAUGUUGCGAAUACCUCAAGGAUCAUCAUAUCUAUCCCUGAUAUGUUAUAGUUCAUCACGAAGCUCUAGCAGCUUGGUGGCAAUGACUUUGGAGAAACAUCACUAUCUCAUCUGGAAGAUCAACUCCCACUCGAUUCAAGUGAUUGUUGCACUUAGACAAUCUGAGCACAAGCUCAACGAUUGAGCUUUUCUCCCUUAGUUUGCAGGCUAAGAAAAUCGUCGGAGGUCUUAUACCUCUUGACGUGGGCACGAGCCUGAAAUCCCAAUUUCAGCCCUCGAAACAUCUCUUAUGUUCCGCGACGUUUCGAAAACGUCUUUGGUGCCUCAACUCUAAACCAUUUAACUAAACUAUCACGUAGUUAUCAAAACGUGUAUGUCCGAUGUUUGCAACAUCCACAGACGAUGUUUGGGGUUCAGCACACUGAGCAGUGCAUUAAGGACAUAAGCUUUCUACUGUCCGUAUAAUCGCUACUGUCAACUUUCAACUAUAUUUUCUCUAGGAACAUAUCUAAAACAGUAGAACUAAAGCGCGAGCUAUGACAUAAUUUGCAAAGGGCUUUUGACUAUGUUCAAGAUAAUUAAGUUCAUCUAAUGAACUCCCACUCAGAUAGACAUCCCUCUAGUCAUCUAAGUGAUUACAUGACCCGAGUCAACUAGGCCGUGUCCCAUCAUCACGUGAUACAGACUAGUCCUCAUCGGUGAACAUCUUCAUGUUGAUCGUAUCCACCAUACGACUCAUGCUUGACCUUUCGGUCUCUUGUGUUCCGAGGCCAUGUCUGUACAUGCUAGGCUCGUCAAGUCAACCUAAGUGUUUCGCGUGUGUAAAUCUGGCUUACACCCGUUGUAUGUGAACGUAAGAAUCUAUCACACCCGAUCAUCACGUGGUGCUUCGAAACGAUGAACUUUCGCAACGGUGCACAGUUAGGGGGAACACUUUCUUGAAAUUUUAAUGAGCGAUCAUCUUAUUUACUACCGUAGUUCUAUGCAAAUAAGAUGCAUAAACAUGAUAAACAUCACAUGCAAUCAAAUAGUGACAUGAUAUGGCCAAUAUCAUUUUGCUCCUUUUGAUCUCCAUCUUUGGGGAUCCAUGAUCAUCAUCGUCACCGGCAUGACACCAUGAUCUCCAUCAUCAUGAUCUCCAUCAUCGUGUCUUCAUGAAGUUGUCUCGCCAACUAUUACUUCUACUACUAUGGCUACCGCUUAGCAAUAAAGUAAAGUAAUUACAUAGCGUUGUUUAAUGACACGCAGGUCAUACAAUAAAUUAAGACAACUCCUAUGGCUCCUGCCGGUUGUCAUACUCAUCGACAUGCAAGUUGUGAUUCCUAUUACAAGAACAUGAUCAAUCUCAUACAUCACAUAUCAUUCAUCACAUUCUUCUUGGCCAUAUCACAUCACAUAGCAUACCCUGCAAAAACAAGUUAGACGUCCUCUAAUUGUUGUUUGCAUGUUUUACGUGGCUGCUAUGGGUUUCUAGCAAGAACGUUUCUUACCUACGCAAAACCAUAAUGUGAUAUGUCAAUUGCUAUUUACCCUUCAUAAGGACCAUUUUCAUCGAAUCCGUUCCGACUAAAGUGGGAGAGACUGGCACCUGCUAGCCACCUUAUGCACCAAGUGCAUGUCAGUCGGUGGAACCUGUCUCACAUAAGAGUACGUGAAAGGUCGGUCCGGGCCGCUUCAUCCCACAAUACUGUCGAAACAAGAUUGGACUAGGAACGGUAAGCAUAUUGAACAAAAUCAACGCCCACAACUACUUUGUGUUCUACUCGUGCAUAGAGUCUACGCAAUAGACCUAGCUCAUGAUGCCACUGUUGGGGAACGUAGCAGAAAUUCAAAAUUUUCCUACGUGUCACCAUGAUCUGUCUAUGGAGAAACCAGCAACGAGGGGAAGGAGAGUGCAUCUACAUACCCUUGUAGAUCGUUAAGAGGAAGCGUUCAAGAGAAUGGGGUUGAAGGAGUCGUACUCGUCGUGAUCCAAAUCACCGGAGAUCCUAGUGCCGAAUGGACGGCACCUCCGUGUUCAACACACGUACAGCCCGGUGACGUCUCCCAUGCCUUGAUCUAGCAAGGAGAGAGGGAGAGGUUGAGGAAGACUCUGUCCAGCAGCAGCACAAUGACGUGGUGGUGAUGGAGGAUCGUGGCAAUCCUGUACGGCUUCGCCAAGCACCGCGGGAGAGGAGAAGGGAGAGAGGUAGGGCUGCGCCAGGGAGAGGUCAAACUCAUGUGUUGGCAGCCCUCAAGACCUCAACUAUAUAUAGGGGAGAGGGAGGGGGUGCGCCCCCUCUAGGGUUUCCACCCCAAGGGGUGCGGCAGCCCCAAUCCCAUCUAGGGUGGCGGCCAAGGUGGGGAGAGGGGAAACUUGCCCCCCAAGUUAGGUGGGUGCGCCCCCUCUCCCAACCCUAGGCACCUUGGGCCCUUGUGGGGGGCGCACCAGCCCACCUGGGGCUGGUCCCCUCCCACACUUGGCCCAUGCAGCCCUCCGGGGAUGGUGGCCCCACUUGGUGGACCCCCGGGACCCUCCCGGUGGUCCCGAUACGUUACCGAUAAAACCCGAAACUUUUCCGGUGACCAAAACAGGACUUCCCAUAUAUAAAUCUUUACCUCCGGACCAUUUCGGAACUCCUCAUGACGUCCGGGAUCUCAUCCGGGACUCUGAAAAACAUUCGGUAACCACAUACAAACUUCCUUUAUAACCAUAGCGUCAUCGAACCUUAAGUGUGUAGACCCUACGGGUUCGGGAACCAUGCAGACAUCACCGAGACGUUCUCCGGUCAAUAACCAACAGCGGGAUCUGGAUACCCAUGUUGGCUCCCACAUGUUCCACGAUGAUCUCAUCGGAUGAACCACGAUGUCAAGGACUCAAUCAAUCUCGUAUACAAUUCCCUUUGUCUAGCGGUAUUAUACUUGCCCGAGAUUCGAUCGUCGGUAUCCCGAUACCUUUGUUCAAUCUCGUUACCGGCAAGUCUCUUUACUCGUUCCGUAACACAUCAUCCCGUGAUCAACCCCUUGGUCACAUGGUGCACAUUAUGAUGAUGUCCUACCGAGUGGGCCUAGAGAUACCUCUCCGUCAACCGGAGUGACAAAUCCCAGUCUCGAUUCAUGCCAACCCAACAGACACUUUCGGAGAUACCUGUAGUGCACCUUUAUAGCCACCCCGUUACGUUGUGAUGUUUGGUACAACCAAAGCAUCCCUACGGUAUCCGGGAGUUGCACAAUCUCAUGGACAAAGGAAAUGAUACUUGACAUUAGAAAAGCUUUAGCAUACGAACUACACGAUCUUUGUGCUAGGCUUAGGAUUGGGUCUUGUCUAUCACAUCUUUCUCCUAAUGAUGUGAUCCCGUUAUCAACGACAUCCAAUGUCCAUGGUCAGGAAACCGUAACCAUCUAUUGAUCAACGAGCCAGUCAACUAGAGGCUUACUAGGGACAUGGUGUUGUCUAUGUACCCACACAUGUAUCUGAGUUUCCUAUCAAUACAAUUAUAGCAUGGAUAAUAAACGAUUAUCAUGAACAAGGAAAUAUAAUAAUAAUAACUAAUUUAUUAUUGCCUCUAGGGCAUAUUUCCAACAGCACCCUAUCCAUCCAAUCAACAAGCGAGACAUCCGUCACAAUCGGACAUUUAUUUCGUUUUGGCAUGUCUGGAUUGUUGAACUAUGAUUUUCUUUGCUUUGUCUCGAACUGUUGAAUUUGGACAAUUUGUAUCGUAUGAUCGACGUGCAUGGGUUGCAUGUAUUUGAUUCUCUAUAUUUGAGGUAUGUGGAUGUGCGACAACCCAUAUGAAGGGCCGGCGGGCGCUGUCCACGGACGCGCUCGUGGGCGUAUAGGGGCCGGACUUGCCAAGUUCGGUUGUAGAUGCUCUAAGUAACAAGUGGAUCGCAAUCUAAGUUUGAGAUUAUCUCCAAUGUCUAACUAAACGGGCGUCAUACGUCCCAUCCUUCAGGAUGAAUAAGAUCACAUCUGGCAAAUAAUUAUUUUUUGAUAUCUGUUUUGGUCCUUACAUUAUAUAUNNNNNNNNNNNNNNNNNNNNNNNNNNNNNNNNNNNNNNNNNNNNNNNNNNNNNNNNNNNNNNNNNNNNNNNNNNNNNNNNNNNNNNNNNNNNNNNNNNNNNNNNNNNNNNNNNNNNNNNNNNNNNNNNNNNNNNNNNNNNNNNNNNNNNNNNNNNNNNNNNNNNNNNNNNNNNNNNNNNNNNNNNNNNNNNNNNNNNNNNNNNNNNNNNNNNNNNNNNNNNNNNNNNNNNNNNNNNNNNNNNNNNNNNNNNNNNNNNNNNNNNNNNNNNNNNNNNNNNNNNNNNNNNNNNNNNNNNNNNNNNNNNNNNNNNNNNNNNNNNNNNNNNNNNNNNNNNNNNNNNNNNNNNNNNNNNNNNNNNNNNNNNNNNNNNNNNAAUAAUACAUAUUCACAAAAAAUAUUAUGAAUGACGAAUCUACUAACAAUAUUUUCAGUGAGCCAAUUUUAAAUAGUAUUGCCACAUACCAGGAGAUAGCAGCAGAGAAUGUAAUUUACAAACACUUUAAUGAUAUGCAGGCCAUUAGAAGCAAUAGAAAAUGACAAAACUUCAAAUUAAACAAGUAGGUGCAUACAUUUCGAGGACAUGCAUGAGAGAUCCUUUUUUUAUGAGAUGUUAUUGCAAGUAGAAGCUAUUAUACCUUUUUGGAACUUUUACCAUGUCUCAAACCAUGUACUUAUAUUUAGUUUGUUAGAUUUGUAUUUUUUUUCUUUCAGAAAACGAUAUAUAAAAGAAGAAGACUUAAGGACGCCAUUUUUGACUCACAUGAGCAUGUGGUCCCUAGAGCCAAAACAAUGAAAAUUAUUAGAGAUUCCUAUGUAUAAGCUAUUCUUGGUAAGCUAAAGACAUUUCAUCCUCUAAACUCUUGCUGAAGUCCAAAAUUAACCCAGAACUGCAAAUAACACUAGAACAGAUUAGACUGUCACGCUGGUCAUAGCACCACACUGGAGUAAUCUUCUACAAGUGAUGUUAAAUGACAAAACUGACCGUCACUACUAGAAUCAGCUACUUUGCCAACUUCCUCGGCAAAGAUCCAAAAGAACUCGGCAAAAAUGUGUUUGCCACGUGCGGUACUUUGCAAAAAAAAUACUCCAUAGAACAUAUUGGCAAUAGUUAACUUUGCCGAAUUUUUAUACCAAGAACUCCAGAAUACUCAUAGAGUCUUUCUCGAGUUUCCAAAAAGAAGAACUCUAGAAACCACUAGCGCUAGACGAAAUGACCUAUUAAUGGUGGUGCCACGUGGCCAGAGCAUUGCCGAGUUCUUGCAUGCCGAACUCGGCAGACGCCUGAUGAAUAGAAACGUGGUGCGUGGCAUAGGUGGUUGCCGAGUUCUUGCCUUUGCCAAGCGUGGAACCCAACAAACGUUCAGCAAAUAUGAUGCGUGGCAGAACUAGCUGCCAAGUUCUUAUCUUUGCAGAGUAUGUUGCAGGAGACCUAGGCAAAUUCUUUGAAGAAUAGUAAUGCGACACGUGGCAUAGACGAGUGUCAGGUUCUUGUAUUUGCUGAGUAUGGCGCCACGGGGACUCGUCAACACCUUUGGGGAGCUUUGUGCAGGGUGAACUCGGCAAAGAAAACCCGUGGAAGACGUUCGGGAGCUGCUUCCGCAUUUUCUGAGUGUGGAACUCGGCAAAGAUUCCUGGAGCUACCAGCUUCUGCCACGUGUCACAUUUUGCCGACUAGUGCGCUCAGCAAAAUGCUCCAGGAAUAGUUUUGUCGAGCGACAAAACUUGGCAAAUGUUCAAUCAUGUUUAUUUAUUAUUUAUUGUUGGGAAAUCUUGCAUACAAAUAAGUACGUAUGCAUAUAUAUCAUCGCAAAGAUACAUAACAUCAUUCAAAUAUCACUUCACAAAAACAACAAGCAAUAUGGCGAUCAUUCGAACACAUUUUACACAAGUGACAUCGUCACAAAUUUAUCCAAGUUAGUCUCAUUGAAGCCAUGUUACUCUAAUGAUAGAUUAAGGUCCAGCUGCAGCACGGGCCGGGCCGGUCCUGCGAUUCCGGUGGUCCUGGGUGAAACUAACACUCGGAUCCUCUCAAUAUAAACAUUAUAACAAUAUCUGCAAAUGUUUAGAUUAUUAAAUGUUACCGGUAGACUAGUAGAAAGAGAUCGUGAAUGAACCAGAAAAACAGAAAAAUGAAGGUGCGUCCGUUCUAAAACUUUGGCCAAGAAUAACAGGAUAAUUGACACAUGGCUCGCCACGUACCUUAUUGAGGCAAAAAAAAAGUUCGCGCUUCAUUAAGCUUUCGCGUUUGCUAGUACGUAAAAUGGAAAAAAGAUGUACACAACGUAUAUGAAAAAAUUUAUACAAUUUUAUUUAAUAUCUAUCAAAAUUAUUUAAUAUCAUUAUAUAAUGUCGAGCUAUCGAGCUAAAUCGAGCGAGCGAGUGUUGGCUCAUGAUCAGCUCGUUUAUUGAUCGAGCUACAUAAAGUGCUCAUUCUCAGCUCAUUUCUUUUCAAGUCAAACUCAAGUCGAAACAAAAUACGAGUCGAUCUUGAGUGGCUUACGAGCCUCGAGCUUUACUUGCAGCCCUAGCCACCACUACUCCAAUCCAACCAUAGUUUUUAUUUUCUUUAGAGGGUCGACGAUGGACUGUGUUUGUUUACUGACCCAUCUUUUUUCUUUUCAUUUCCCUAUGUUUUUGGCUAGCUUUCGGGCUUUGUCUGCCUGUACAUAUUGCACAUGUUCUCCCUUAAUCCAUGGCAGAGUUGUUGCCGCUUUUGUAGUAACAUAUAUGGACUUGUAGUAGAUUGUCAUGACCUUUCGUCACAGCUAAUGGCUAAAUCCUCACGUACAUGCAUGUGGUGGUAACAUGAGGACUGUUCAGAUCUUAGCUAGAACACACAUUAACUAUCAUAUCAUGUCAUAAUUUUUUAUAGGCCACUGCCAUGAAUAAUAUAUGAAGUACAGAGGACAAUUCAAACAAUCAAAUUUAAAUUACUAUACCUGCGGCCACCCCUCGGGAAUAUAAUUUAUACUUCUUGUUUCUUUUCUUGACACUAAUUGAUACUUCUUGUUGGACGCGAACCAAGCCAAGUAUGUACACCAACUAUCUGAGUUGACAGAUGUAAGUUAGCUUAAUAUUGACUAAUAGACCUAAGAUGCUAGUCAUGAACGAAUCCAUAUCAUCUGUCUGUAUUUGUAGAUGUCGAGUCAUCUUGCACUUUUUGUAAUUGCCCAUUGGCCAACUAGCUAUUAUUUGCAUCGAUAAAUCGUCUUAUAUGAUAUAUGUUGCCCACUUUGUUACUCCCUCCGUUCCUAAAUAUUUGUCUUUUUAGAGAUUUCAAAUGACUACCACAUACGGAUGUAUAUAGACAUAUUUUAGAGUGUAGAUCCACUCAUUUUGCUCUGUAUGUACUCACUUGUUGAAAUCUCUAGAAAGACAAAUAUUUAGGAACGGAGGGAUUACAUUGCAAGAUUUCUAAGUGCGUCAAAAGGGUGUCCCUAAAGAUGUUUUAUCCAUAGGUUUUACAUUCUUUAUUGAGAGAUGUUGCACAAAAGCUGUACAAUGUUUCAAGUGUACACUAUGUGAAUUUGGUUAUCCUGUUUAUUAGAUGGACAUAUCUCAAUGCUUAAUGGUGACACACAUAUACUCCAAGUUCUUUUGUUCUGGUUAGUCCAUUGUUCGAGGUGAUAAGCAUCUAUAUUACCAUAAGCUAAUCAGUGCUUCAUCAGCUUUGAUAGAUAUGUACUCUAUUUGAACUUUAUUUAGAGAAUUCUAGAUGAAAAUAUUAGCAAGUAAGAUACACAUCAGACUAUACAAUUACAUAAAUUCCAAUACUAAUGCAAGUUGCUGACCGGAAAUCCCUUUUGGUGACCGAGCUCCAAUGAGGCCUCCAAAUUUAAAAUUCAAAUUUCAUCAAAAUCCAUAUUUUUACGUUUCAAAAAAUUCAAAAAAAAAUAGAAAUACAUGAAGGCAUAACACACAUAUGUGUAAAUUUUCAGGGCAAAAUACGUUGAAAUGAGGGUUGUGCAAAAAAUACAAAUCUAGGGCUGUUUAACACAUGAUACUAUUUAUCCUCCCAGGCCAUAAAUUUGUCUUUUUUGUACAGGUCGCAACUCAAGGUAUUUCAUCAUGAAUUUUUUACACACAUGUGGGUUACAUCCUUACAUGCAUGCAUUAUUUUUUUGAAUUUUUUGAAACAUGAAAGUUUGAAUUUGAUUUUUUCAAAAAUAAAGGGCUCCAUGGAGCUCGGCCUCCAAAACGCCAUUUUCAAUGCUGACAUGUUAAGAACCACUUUAACUUGUAUCUCCAAGGACCGGGAUGCAAUUUUCUUUUCUAGCAGUGGUUUUCUUGUAUUGCUAAAUCCAUUAAAUAUGGAGCAUGUGGCUCUGUUGUAGAAAGUUAGUUAAAUGGAUUUUCCAGCCGCAAAAAAAAAUUGAAUGGAUUUUCAACAGCUUGAUUUAAUGUUUGGGGAUCCAUGUCGAAAUUUACUCUCUAUUGGGCCAGACUUUGCAAGUAAAACCAAUAUCAUAAAUGCAGCUAAUUAAAUGGAUCUUAACCUUCUCAUAACUGGUAUAACUACAUGCUCUAAUUUAAUUAAUGUGACGUGAUCUUACCAUAGUAAUAUUAUUAUGCAGUGCACAACUAGCAAGUCCACUAAAGAUUCAUAAUAUUACCACAUCAAGGACUUCAUUAACUGUCAUUUAUAGGUUGUACAUCUGUAGAUCAGAUGAUUUGGAAAUAUUCUCUGGAUGGCACAUCCACAUCAUGUUAUCUAUACCACAGGUUGAGCAUUGAGAUCUAUGUGUCCAAUGGAUAAGAAACUAAGAUACAAGCACUGCAUCUAUAUGGCAUCCAUAGAGAUUAUAACAUGGAUGCACUUGACAUACUGUCCACACCCAUAAUAUAUGAUGGCAUACAGGUCCAUCCAUACAAUAAGAGCAACUUAUUUGGCCUAUGGAUGCCGACAUAAAGAGAAGAUCUGUCGGCAUAUACUAACACACAAAACAAUAUGGCUUCAAUUUGACUAUCUUAGGUCUUUUCGUCAAUUUUAAGCUUACAUGCAUGGGUCAAGUAGAUAGUCAUGACCUUUCACCAAAGCUAAUAACUGAGGUCGCACAUGUAGGCAUGUGGAGUGUUUCAAAUCUUAGCUAGAACGCACAUGAAUUAUCACAUGCAUGCUACAAUAGUUGAAUGACAUCCGACGCAUCCAUAUACUACACCCUGUCAUGAUAUCUUUUAUAUGCCACUGACAUGAGUCACAUAUGAAGUAUAUAGGGAAAUUUAGAUCUAUUUUAAAUUAAAAUACGUGUAGCUAGCCGCCCCUGAGGGAUUUAAUUGCAUAUUAUAAUUACAAUAUAUAUCUGCAACUAGUCCAUGGAAAUAUAAUUGUGUCUUUUGGUUGUACGCAAACCAAGGUAAGUACCAACGUAUCUAAAGGCGUACAUGUGCGUACACCAACUAUCUGACUUGACACAUUUAAAUUAGCUUAAAAAUGACGAAUAUACCUUAUUAAGAUGCUAGUCAAAAUGAAUCCAUAUCCAUUGUUUGCAUUAGUUGAUGUCGAGCAAUCUUGCACUUUCUGUAAUUGUCCGUUGGCCAACUAGCUUUUAUUUUUCGGAUAAUUUUUUCUUUUAUAAUAUAUGUUUCCCUCUUUGUUACAAUUGAAAGUUGCUAAGUGCAUCAAAAGGAUAAAUCACCUAGAUAUAAUCAAAGAGGGGCAUGAAAAUAGAAAUCCCAUUUAUUUAUAGAUUUUACAAUUUUUAUCGGUAUGUUGUACAAAGGUGGUGUAUAUACCUUGUGUUUAAGUGUACACUACACGAAUUUGUCUAUUUAUUAGAUGCACAUAUCUAAAUACUUAAAGUGGCACAUGUAUAUUCCAAAUUAUUAUGUUCUACAUAUAUGGUAUAGUUUACUAUUGCCUGUUAGUUCAUUCUUCGAUGAGAUAAGCAUUUAUAUAACCAUAAAAACCAUAAACUUACCAAUAUUUAGAAAUUAUAGUGAAUUUAGAUAGUUGGCUUGUGAGACAUCCUUAUGCGGAUAAAAAAACCAUACCUAAUCCUGACAUGGAAAAGUAGUCAUGUUAGAUCCUUAGUUGGAUUACAGGUCUAAGUUGCAUAGGGUGUUAAAAAGUCUAAAACAACACUAAUUAAAGGCCCAAGAGAAACCCACUAGAGGUGGGUACUAGCACUCCAAGCAUCCUAUAUAUAGGAUACAUCUACCCUCUUAUUCUCUCACAAAACACAACGAGAUACAACUCCCCCCCUCCCCCAUUCAACUAGCCCAUUCAGUUCUCUCUUUUCCCCUUCUUGCAUACAAUCAUCUCCAUGGCUAGUCCAUUCGGUGUCUUGGUUUGUCUACUCAUAGUGCUACCACAAAUCCUUGCUAUUUCUAGCCCCAUCGACGAGAUUGCACCUCUUAAGACAUGUCAGUUCCCUUGUAUGACCGAGGUUAACUUGCACUUGUUCUUGCACCAAUUCGUCGACGGGCCAAACAACCCAAACCGCAAUGAGGAAACCUUACUCCAAGCAAGUUUUCCUUUUGGGUUUGGGACGAUGAUAGUCCAUGACUGGACUCUUACCGAGACAACAAAUUCCAGAGACACGGUUGUUGCACGU